This 1510-nucleotide long non-coding RNA is filed under the name Gossypium barbadense (sea-island cotton). RNAcentral's name for it is "long non-coding RNA (GBAR_LNC019355)". Lineage: Eukaryota; Viridiplantae; Streptophyta; Magnoliopsida; Malvales; Malvaceae. The record is from RNAcentral.
GGGGAAGCCAUAUUUAGGGUUUUCAAGCUUCCAAGCUCCAUAGUAAGUGAUUCCAAGCCCCAUUUUUAAUGUUCUUUACGUUUUUGGAGUCCAAGUAACUUGAUAGCUUAUUCUAGCAAUAAUUUAACCUAGGAUUUAUAUUUGGAAAAAUAACCAUAGGUGAAAUGUGUUUAUUUUGAUGUUUUAUGAUAGAAUAUGAAGCUAUAAAUUAUGUUAAACAACUUUUGCUAGCCGAUUUUAAGCGAAAACGAGUAAAACGACAUAAUUGGUAAAAAUAUCUAAUGUUCAUAAGUACAUGUUAGAGUGAGAAUUUGAUGAUGGCAUAGAAGGGAAAAUGUUCAGCGUGUCAUAAAACAUAAGAAUAAGGGAUGAAGUUUAAUUUCUGAGCCUUGGGGAAAAAUGUAAUUAUGUAAAAGUUUAGGGGCAAAAUCCUAAUUUUUACAAAGUUAGAGUCGAGGGCUGUUUUGAUAAAUGUGAGUAUUAAAUAAUUUAAAUUUGCUAUUUUAGAUCAAGAAGAAUGAAACUCGAGGUUAGACAAAGGAAAGAGUAAAGUUGAAGACUAAGUUAGUGAAUUGGGCUAUAUUUGGUACCGAAGUAAGUUUACGGUAAAUAAAUGUAAUAUUUCAAUAAUUAUUAUUAAUGCUGCUAUUUUCCAGCGACUAUGAAUUUAUUCCAUUAAUUUAUUUGAUGUUGAUUCAAGUAUAAAAUGAUAAAGAAUUAAUAUUAAAAAGUCCCGUUGAUACAUAAGGAAAGUACUGGAUACAAAUGUCAUGACAUUUGGGUAAAGAGAUCCCAUGUAAGACCAUGUCUGGGAUAUGGCAUUGGCAUCCUUGAGAUCAUGAGAGGUCCCCUGUAAGACCAUGUCUGGGACAUGGCAUUGGCACCGAGAUGAGAGGUCCCAUGUAAGACCAUGUCUGGGACAUGGCGUUGGCACCGAGAUGAGAGGUCCCCCGUAAGACCAUGUCUGAGACAUGGCAUGGGCACCGACAUGAGAACAUCCCAUGUAAGACCAUGUCUGGGACAUGGCUUUGGCAUGUUAUUAUCAAAAGAGUCUCGAGUAUCCUUAUUAUUCCAAUGUAGCUCAACGGGCUAAUAAACAAAUCAUGUUCAGGAAAGUUCAGUUAAAAGCAUAAAUGCGAGCUUAGGUAAGUUAUAAGAGUUAAGAGCUUAUUAUAUUAUCAAUUGAUACUCAACAUUUCAGCAAGGGAAGAGUAAGUUAUGAUCACGAGUUAACUAAGUAAACAAGCAAGAGAAUGAGAAUGAGAAUGAGAUUAAUCAAAGAGUAAAUUAGAGACCUUGACAUUCGAAUAUAAUCAUUUGUGUUAAAUGUUGUUAUUUAUUUGCUAGUAAACUUACUAAGCUUAAUGCUUACUUCUUUUAUUUUUCUUUCUCUUAUAGUAUUGCAAAGCUGCUUCAGGGAUCCUAAAGAAGUCGGAGAUCGUCUAUACUAUCAAGAACAACUACUCGAUAUUUUAUGAUGAAACACGUUUGAGUUAUGGCAUGUAUAGGG